AGCGAACGCUGGCGGCAGGCCUAACACAUGCAAGUCGAACGAACCUUUCGGGGUUAGUGGCGGACGGGUGAGUAACACGUGGGAACGUGCCUUUAGGUUCGGAAUAACUCAGGGAAACUUGUGCUAAUACCGAAUGUGCCCUUCGGGGGAAAGAUUAAUCGCCUUUAGAGCGGCCCGCGUCUGAUUAGCUAGUUGGUUGAGGUAAUGGCUCACCAAGGCGACGAUCAGUAGCUGGUCUGAGAGGAUGAUCAGCCACAUUGGGACUGAGACACGGCCCAAACUCCUACGGGAAGCAGCAGUGGGGAAUCGUGCGCAAUGGGCGAAAGCCUGACGCAGCCAUGCCGCGUGAAUGAUGAAGGUCUUAGGAUUGUAAAAUUCUUUCACCGGGGACGAUAAUGACGGUACCCGGAGAAGAAGCCCCGGCUAACUUCGUG
This 434-nucleotide ribosomal RNA is filed under the name uncultured bacterium. Its description in RNAcentral is "partial 16S ribosomal RNA". It matches the Rfam family "Bacterial small subunit ribosomal RNA", at positions 29 to 507 of the family's 1533-position model. The record is from RNAcentral.